GACGAACGCUGGCGGCGUGCUUAACACAUGCAAGUCGAACGGAAAGGCCCUGCUUUUGUGGGGUGCUCGAGUGGCGAACGGGUGAGUAACACGUGAGUAACCUGCCCUUGACUUUGGGAUAACUUCAGGAAACUGGGGCUAAUACCGGAUAGGAGCUCCUGCUGCAUGGUGGGGGUUGGAAAGUUUCGGCGGUUGGGGAUGGACUCGCGGCUUAUCAGCUUGUUGGUGGGGUAGUGGCUUACCAAGGCUUUGACGGGUAGCCGGCCUGAGAGGGUGACCGGCCACAUUGGGACUGAGAUACGGCCCAGACUCCUACGGGAGGCAGCAGUGGGGAAUAUUGCACAAUGGGCGGAAGCCUGAUGCAGCAACGCCGCGUGCGGGAUGACGGCCUUCGGGUUGUAAACCGCUUUCGCCUGUGACGAAGCGUGAGUGACGGUAAUGGGUAAAGAAGCACCGGCUAACUACGUGCCAGCAGCCGCGGUGAUACGUAGGGUGCGAGCGUUGUCCGGAUUUAUUGGGCGUAAAGGGCUCGUAGGUGGUUGAUCGCGUCGGAAGUGUAAUCUUGGGGCUUAACCCUGAGCGUGCUUUCGAUACGGGUUGACUUGAGGAAGGUAGGGGAGAAUGGAAUUCCUGGUGGAGCGGUGGAAUGCGCAGAUAUCAGGAGGAACACCAGUGGCGAAGGCGGUUCUCUGGGCCUUUCCUGACGCUGAGGAGCGAAAGCGUGGGGAGCGAACAGGCUUAGAUACCCUGGUAGUCCACGCUGUAAACGGUGGGUACUAGGUGUGGGGUCCAUUCCACGGGUUCCGUGCCGUAGCUAACGCUUUAAGUACCCCGCCUGGGGAGUACGGCCGCAAGGCUAAAACUCAAAGGAAUUGACGGGGCCCCGCACAAGCGGCGGAGCAUGCGGAUUAAUUCGAUGCAACGCGUAGAACCUUACCUGGGUUUGACAUGGAUCGGGAGUGCUCAGAGAUGGGUGUGCCUCUUUUGGGGUCGGUUCACAGGUGGUGCAUGGCUGUCGUCAGCUCGUGUCGUGAGAUGUUGGGUUAAGUCCCGCAACGAGCGCAACCCUUGUUCACUGUUGCCAGCACGUUAUGGUGGGGACUCAGUGGAGACCGCCGGGGUCAACUCGGAGGAAGGUGGGGAUGACGUCAAGUCAUCAUGCCCCUUAUGUCCAGGGCUUCACGCAUGCUACAAUGGCUGGUACAGAGAGUGGCGAGCCUGCGAGGGUGAGCGAAUCUCGGAAAGCCGGUCUCAGUUCGGAUUGGGGUCUGCAACUCGACCUCAUGAAGUCGGAGUCGCUAGUAAUCGCAGAUCAGCAACGCUGCGGUGAAUACGUUCCCGGG
RNAcentral lists this ribosomal RNA (1343 nucleotides) under uncultured bacterium. RNAcentral's name for it is "16S ribosomal RNA". It matches the Rfam family "Bacterial small subunit ribosomal RNA", at positions 28 to 1378 of the family's 1533-position model. The record is from RNAcentral.